Long non-coding RNA from Contarinia nasturtii (swede midge), 628 nucleotides. RefSeq lists it as uncharacterized. The transcript is spliced from 3 exons. NCBI's taxonomy places the organism in Eukaryota, Metazoa, Arthropoda, Insecta, Diptera, Cecidomyiidae. The record is from RefSeq and is a predicted model, not a curated record.
UUUACUUUCGAACACACAUACAAUAAUCUUGUCGAGUAAGAAAAAGAAGAAAGUGUGUGCAUUGUGACAUUUAGAUUCAGUUUUGUUAAACUAUCCAAGGAAAUGUGUUGGCAAAAUUGUGUGUUUUCAAUACAUUUGAUUGUUGCAAUCAUUUUAACAAUCGUUUCAACAAUUAAUCGACUAUGGACAUUGCUUGGACUUCCAAUACCUGCUGUGAUCAACUGAUAUUGGAAUCAAAUCAACGCCGAUGCCGCCGUCUUCGAUGACGAUAACGACGUGGACAUAUCCGAGCCCGAGUUAGAAUAGCAGCCAACAAAUCAUCACAAUACCAUACAAUAAAAUAAAAUAAAGCAUAAAUAAUAUUUGUUACGUAACUGCUAUCCCGAAUAUGUGGGUUAGUUAUGCACAAAACAAGUCAUUUCCCAUUUGGUUGAGAUGGCUGUGCGGGAGUACAAACGGAGCGUUUUUCCAUUAUAUGGGAAACACCCUAUGUAGAAAAUUUAAUAAAUAUACUUUUUAGAACAUCGAGACACUCUUAAUCUAAAUGCUCAUACAAGAUUAGAAAAUUUACGAAUUUAAGAAAAUCUGAAACAUAUAAAUAUCGGUAAACAGAAUUGAUUAUUUUAUA